RNAcentral lists this ribosomal RNA (383 nucleotides) under uncultured eukaryote. RNAcentral's name for it is "partial 18S ribosomal RNA". It matches the Rfam family "Eukaryotic small subunit ribosomal RNA", at positions 592 to 976 of the family's 1831-position model. The record is from RNAcentral.
CAAUAGCGUAUAUUAAAGUUGUUGCAGUUAAAAAGCUCGUAGUUGGAUUUCUGGUGGGAGCGAUCGGUCUGGCGCUUAGCGCGAGUACUUGCAUCGUCUCCGGCCAUCCUUGGGGAGAGUCUGUCUGGCAUUAGGUUGUCGGGCAGAGGAUCCUCAUCGUUUACUGUGAAAAAAUUAGAGUGUUCAAAGCAGGCUUAUGCCGUUGAAUAUAUUAGCAUGGAAUAAUAAGAUAGGACUUUGGUACUAUUUUGUUGGUUUGCGCACCAAAGUAAUGAUUAAUAGGGACAGUUGGGGGUAUUCGUAUUCCGUUGUCAGAGGUGAAAUUCUUGGAUUUACGGAAGACGAACUACUGCGAAAGCAUUUACCAAGGAUGUUAUCAUUAA